Molecule: long non-coding RNA, 930 nt
Organism: Homo sapiens (human)
Lineage: Eukaryota; Metazoa; Chordata; Mammalia; Primates; Hominidae
Gene: NKAPP1
Product: NFKB activating protein pseudogene 1
Source: Ensembl
CUGGGGAAAUGUUUUGCCAACGUACUCGCAAUAGUUCCCAUGGUUUCCUUUGCUCCCAGCGGUUGCGCGGGCUGGGUUUUUGGAGCAAAGGCAACGGAUACUGCUGAGGCUCCUGAGAAUGUCCCGUUUUCGAGGCUGCAGUAGCUCCGGUGUCCGGUUCUGCAGUGCCGAGAGGGAGGCCUCGGGCUCCGGGCGGGGGAAUGUGUUGCAGUUUGUCCAAGAGCCCCAAGCCCAGCAAAGCCGCCCGUUCCCCGCUGGGGCGCAACUCUCACUGGAACUCUUGUUCUCUGACUGGGGAAUGGAAUGGGCUCAGCCAAGGCUCCCGAAACCAGCCCUGCCGCUCCCAGUUGUGGUCGCAUUCUCAAGAGCGGCUGACUGCGCCGUGGACCAUCACUUUCGCUUCUGCCUGCUCUUGCGCCUAUUGCGGCAACUACUCACGCUCCUACGGGACGAGGAGAGGGAGGUGAAUCCGUGGCAGAGCUGGAAUGGGAGAGAACACAGCGUGCCACGAAGGGCCACACCGAGGUUGCUGUUGAAAAAUAGUAGUCUAGUCAUUCAAGUGAAAGGUCCAAGAAAGGAAGAAAGAAAAAUUUAUCAAAAAGAAAACACAAGAAGUAUUCUGAAGAUAGCGACAGUGACUCUGAUUCUGAAACAGACUCCAGUGAUGAAGACACAAAAAUGAGAGCAAAGACAGCUAAGAAAAAGGAAAAGAAAUGCAGAUGGCCAGAUUUUUUCCUUUAAUUUUUAUUAUGGAAAAGGUCAAAUGUGUAUAAACAUACAUAGAAUGGUAUAAUGAUCCCUCAGGCACGUAGCACCCAGCUUGAACAAUUAACAACUUGUGGGAAAUUGCCAUUGCCCCCUAAUUAAUUUGAAACCAAUCCCAGGUAUAAUGUCAUUUAUAAACAAUUCAGCAUGUUUCUCUAAAAGACU